RNAcentral lists this ribosomal RNA (1351 nucleotides) under Hyphodermella corrugata. RNAcentral describes it as "eukaryotic LSU rRNA". The stretch from base 307 to 1351 matches the Rfam family "Eukaryotic large subunit ribosomal RNA", at positions 1 to 1053 of the family's 3401-position model. Lineage: Eukaryota; Fungi; Basidiomycota; Agaricomycetes; Polyporales; Phanerochaetaceae. The record is from RNAcentral.
GAUAAGUAAUGUGAAUUGCAGAAUUCAGUGAAUCAUCGAAUCUUUGAACGCACCUUGCGCUCCCUGGUAUUCCGGGGAGCACGCCCGUUUGAGUGUCAUGGUAUUCUCAACCUUCAUAACUUUGUUGUUAUCGAAGGCUUGGAUGUGGAGGUCGUGCUGGCUCUCACGAGUCAGCUCCUCUGAAAUGCAUUAGCGUGAACGUUUACGGAUCGCUAUCAGUGUGAUAAUUAUCUGCGCUGUUAGUGUUGAAGUAUGUUUAGUGUCGCGCUUCUAACCGUCCUUCAGUUGGACAACUUAUCUGACAUCUGGCCUCAAAUCGGGCGGGACUACCCGCUGAACUUAAGCAUAUCAAUAAGCGGAGGAAAAGAAACUAACAAGGAUUCCCCUAGUAACUGCGAGUGAAGCGGGAAAAGCUCAAAUUUAAAAUCUGGCAGCCUUUGGUUGUCCGAGUUGUAGUCUGGAGAAGCGUUUUCCGCGUUGGACCGUGUACAAGUCUCCUGGAACGGAGCGUCAUAGAGGGUGAGAAUCCCGUCUUUGACACGGACUACCAGUGCUUUGUGAUGCGCUCUCAAAGAGUCGAGUUGUUUGGGAAUGCAGCUCAAAAUGGGUGGUAAACUCCAUCUAAAGCUAAAUAUUGGCGAGAGACCGAUAGCGAACAAGUACCGUGAGGGAAAGAUGAAAAGCACUUUGGAAAGAGAGUUAAACAGUACGUGAAAUUGCUGAAAGGGAAACGCUUGAAGUCAGUCGCGUCUGCUAGAACUCAGCCUGGCCUCGGCUUGGUGCAUUUUCUAGUGGACGGGCCAGCAUCACUUUCGGUUGCGGGAUAAAGGUCGCAGAAAUGUGGCACCCUCGGGUGUGUUAUAGUCUGCGGCUGUAUACCGUGACUGGGAGUGAGGAACUCAGCACGCGCAAGCUGUGCUUAGGAUGCUGGCGUAAUGGCUUUAAACGACCNGUCUUGAAACACGGACCAAGGAGUCUAACAUGCCUGCGAGUGUUUGGGUGGAAAACCCGAGCGCGUAAUGAAAGUGAAAGUUGGGAUCUCUGUCGUGGAGAGCACCGACGCCCGGACCAGACCUUCUGUGACGGAUCCGCGGUAGAGCAUGUAUGUUGGGACCCGAAAGAUGGUGAACUAUGCCUGAAUAGGGUGAAGCCAGAGGAAACUCUGGUGGAGGCUCGUAGCGAUUCUGACGUGCAAAUCGAUCGUCAAAUUUGGGUAUAGGGGCGAAAGACUAAUCGAACCAUCUAGUAGCUGGUUCCUGCCGAAGUUUCCCUCAGGAUAGCAGAAACUCGUAUCAGAUUUAUGUGGUAAAGCGAAUGAUUAGAGGCCUUGGGGUUGAAACAACCUUAAACU